Molecule: non-coding RNA, 529 nt
Organism: Cinara cedri
Lineage: Eukaryota; Metazoa; Arthropoda; Insecta; Hemiptera; Aphididae
Source: the annotation of a GenBank genome assembly
GCGUUGAUUUUAAUUAUUUUCUUUUUUUUUUUUUUUUUUAUCGAUAUUAGAGGUACAAUACGAACGUAACUGAAAUUAUAUUCAAAUUCAUUUUUACACGGUGUAACGUGAAACGCGCAAAUGAUUGCGCGACCUUUACUAAAUGUCUACUAUUCGAACGCGAGGCCAUAAUAUUGUAUUGGAAAACUCGUUAGACUCCGUUGGUUUAUCACCGAUUUCCGGUUUUUCUGCAGUAAUUUUGCAGAUUACGACGCGGAACCAACGCGAUAAUACGCGCUCUCCAAUUAAAUAUACGUUCAGUUCAAUGCCUCCCGUUGCUAAAUAUUUUGACAUUCACCCCGUAUUUAACACCUAUCGUACGGGUGAAAUAUUCAAAAAUCCUUCCUUAAUUACGGAUCAUAAAGCCAGUCGGUUUUUUUUCUAAUUUAUUAAACACAAUUCUUUGUUCGACGUCGUUUCUAACCUGUUUUUACCACUAAUACAUAUCUUGUUUAUUGUAAUUUGUAUAAUGUGAGUCGGCAAUAGCCGG